RNAcentral lists this long non-coding RNA (617 nucleotides) under Rattus norvegicus (Norway rat). RNAcentral's name for it is "long non-coding RNA NONRATT011146". The record is from RNAcentral. Lineage: Eukaryota; Metazoa; Chordata; Mammalia; Rodentia; Muridae.
AGAAUCUCACCACCCUUGAGAACAGAAUGCUAAUGUUUGAUGGGAUGCCGGCAGUCAGAGUCAAAACAGAACUUUUGGAAUCUGAACAAGGGAAUUCUGUUAUUUAUAAUGAAGAAGAAGAAUGGUGGCCAAGUACUGAUUUUGAGUGGUUGCUGUGAGAAUAGUCAUUAUCUACACCUCCAGGAAGGCCCCCAAGAAGGCUGAUUCCAUAUGCCGUUCUAUUUGUCUCAAAGUGCUUCAUUACGAUUCUGGAAAAAUGGUUUGGGAAGAGGCCAGGAGCGUUCUUGGGACCAUGGAUCUCAUGGAGCCAGAGUCCGAUGCUGCACUUGAUGCUGCCAAUUGACUUCCAGAACUGGGAGAAUGAUUCUACAGACUCCCUGUUUAACCCAAAUCCUCAGGGAUAGAACUGGGCCCUGAAUUUUGUCUGAUUCCCUAUAACUACAGUUGUUUGCCUAAUUCAAGUGCAGAAACCACAUGUGCUUAAGUCCCCUGUGUCUAUGGAUCAUGUGUUUGAGGCACGGAGUUCCACUCGCUCUGCACAGUACGUUAUUGUUGUAUCUUCUGACUUGGCUUCUCUGUUAUAUAUUUAUUAAAACACAUUAAAGGAAAAUUGAAGC